AGCUGGCCAUCCGCACCGAAUUCCAAGCCCGGGCACAGAGGCCUAGCAGCCCCGCCUUGUGCAUGGAUCAGACCAGCAAAAUUCCUUCUCCAAGAAAGUCUGGGUCUAUGUGUGUGACAGCCCACAGGAGGGCAAAUGUUUUGAGACUGCCCAUGGAGGUGAGGCCUGUGGUCGCCAUGGAGUCCACCAGGUGAGGCUGGAAGAGCCUGGGAGAGAGACGUGAUAGGGAGUAGCUGCGCCAGGCCUGGCACUGCCCUUCACUCUGCCCAAGGUCUCUUCCAUCUUCACGGGCCCUGGAGGGCAGACUAUGGUCAUUGGCCAAACAGCAUUCUCAUGUCCGUUGACAAAGGGACUUCCUCCUUUACAGGGGCUAAGUGGUAGCGAGGAGGCUGGACAGUCCCUCAAGCAGUGGUGGAAAUGCAAAGAACUCGGGGCACUCAAGUUCUCCCUAACCACUCUGUCCCCAGGUCUUAGCCGCCAUCUUAGUUCAAUAAAUAUUUGUUGAAUGC
RNAcentral lists this long non-coding RNA (509 nucleotides) under Homo sapiens (human). Its description in RNAcentral is "DHRS4 antisense RNA 1 (ENSG00000285282.2)". Lineage: Eukaryota; Metazoa; Chordata; Mammalia; Primates; Hominidae. The record is from RNAcentral.